RNAcentral lists this ribosomal RNA (1170 nucleotides) under Triticum aestivum (bread wheat). RNAcentral's name for it is "partial small subunit ribosomal RNA". The record is from RNAcentral. Lineage: Eukaryota; Viridiplantae; Streptophyta; Magnoliopsida; Poales; Poaceae.
AUGGCGAAUUAUCUACGCGCUCUGCGCCUCCAAGAAGGCGUUGAACUCGGCCCUGGCCAUCGCCAGCCGCGGCGUGAUGCACGGCGACGUCGGGCACGACGCCGGAGGCGCCGCGGCCGUCGAGAACCUCACGUGCCGCUGCGACGCGGACGACGUCCUGGGGGCCGACUCCUGCCGCUGCGACGCCGACGCCGACUUCUUCAGGAUCCCCCUCGGCUCGCCGUCGAACGCGGACGCCGUCUUGGCCGGCGACGCCGGCUCAUGCCGGCGCGAAUCCGACGCCGACUUCUUCAGUGCCCCCCUCGCCUCGCCCUCGAACACGAACGCCAUCUUGACCGGCAAGUCCGUGUCGUCCGCGCAGCUGAUCUUGGGCACCUCCAUCGCGAAGUCCAUGUCGACGUGCGUCGGCACAACACUCACCGGAUGCGGCGGCGGUGGCGGGCUCCACGACCCGCACUCGAACCUCUCCAGCUCCGCCAUCCGCGACACGCUGCUCCGCCGCCUCGCCCCGGAAUGCUGCCUCUGUAUGCUCGACACGACGGCCGCCGCGGAGGGCGACCCCGGCUUCUUCUUUGCGAAGCCCGGGAUGAACAUGCACAGCACGCCGCACGUGAAGCUUUGCUCGUCCUCGUCGGCAGCCUCGACGUAGGGGACGGGGACCUCGUCGUCGUGCGGCGCCAUGGACCUGCCCUCGGCGCGGGACGCGCUCCUCGAGAGCGUGGUGGGAGCCGCCGACGGCGAGGCGGCGUAGCUGGCGAGCGCGGCGGAGUGCUGCCGCGCGAGGGAACGCAGGGCGGUGACCGUGGCGAGUCUGGGCGCGGCGGGCUCGUCCCGCUUGGCCGUGGCGCUGUGGACCGGGGAGGAGGUCGCGUAGCACGGCUGGCUGGCCCCGACGAACGUGGGCCGGCGCAGCGGCGGCAGGAGCGGGGACGACUGCGCGACCACCUCCGUGAGCACGGACGGCGCGGAGAGCGGCGAGUCCGGGUCGGCCACCAUGCCCAGGUGCCGCAGAGAGACCGGGUCCACGGGGAUCUGCCGCUCCUCCUCCAUCGACGGCGACACCGGGCUCUUGCCGCCGUCCUCCGCUGCCGCCGUAGUGCUCACGGCGGGGACAGACACGGGCUCGUCGGCGGAGUGCAUGGUGGGCUGGGCGUUGUCGUGCGCUCCUAG